This 119-nucleotide ribosomal RNA is filed under the name Paraclostridium tenue. RNAcentral's name for it is "partial 23S ribosomal RNA". It matches the Rfam family "Bacterial large subunit ribosomal RNA", at positions 2803 to 2925 of the family's 2925-position model. The record is from RNAcentral. Lineage: Bacteria; Bacillati; Bacillota; Clostridia; Peptostreptococcales; Peptostreptococcaceae.
GAUAAGAUUUCCCACCGUAAGGGUAAGAUCCCAGGAAGACUACCUGGUUGAUAGGUCAAAGGUGGAAGUACAGUAAUGUAUGUAGCUUAUGGAUACUAAUAGAUCGAGGACUUGACCAA